CACGUAGGGGGCGAGCGUUGUCCGGAUUUAUUGGGCGUAAAGAGCUCGUAGGCGGCUCGGUAAGUGAGGUGUGAAAACUCCAGGCUCAACCUGGAGACGCCACCUCAUACUGCCGUGGCUAGAGUCCGGUAGGGGAGCAUGGAAUUCCUGGUGUAGCGGUGAAAUGCGCAGAUAUCAGGAGGAACACCAGUGGCGAAGGCGGUGCUCUGGGCCGGAACUGACGCUGAGGAGCGAAAGCGUGGGGAGCAAACAGGAUUAGAUACCCUGGUAGUCCACGCCGUAAACGUUGGGCACUAGGUGUGGGUCCUUAUCAACGGGAUCCGUGCCGUAGCUAACGCAUUAAGUGCCCCGCCUGGGGAGUACGGCCGCAAGGCUAAA
RNAcentral lists this ribosomal RNA (378 nucleotides) under uncultured bacterium. Its description in RNAcentral is "bacterial SSU rRNA". It matches the Rfam family "Bacterial small subunit ribosomal RNA", at positions 524 to 898 of the family's 1533-position model. The record is from RNAcentral.